Molecule: ribosomal RNA, 247 nt
Filed under: uncultured bacterium
Lineage: Bacteria
Description: partial 16S ribosomal RNA
Rfam family: Bacterial small subunit ribosomal RNA
Source: RNAcentral
GAUCCUGGCUCAGGAUGAACGCUGGCGGCGUGCCUAACACAUGCAAGUCGAACGAAGCGAUUUAACGGAAGUUUUCGGAUGGAAGUUGAAUUGACUGAGUGGCGGACGGGUGAGUAACGCGUGGGUAACCUGCCUUGUACUGGGGGACAACAGUUAGAAAUGACUGCUAAUACCGCAUAAGCGCACAGUAUCGCAUGAUACGGUGUGAAAAACUCCGGUGGUACAAGAUGGACCCGCGUCGGAUUAG